RNAcentral lists this ribosomal RNA (316 nucleotides) under Amblyomma humerale. Its description in RNAcentral is "partial 12S ribosomal RNA". The record is from RNAcentral. Lineage: Eukaryota; Metazoa; Arthropoda; Arachnida; Ixodida; Ixodidae.
GUAUAUAAAUAUUAUGAAAACAAAAAAUUAUGGCGGUACUUUAACUUUUCAGAGGAAUUUGCUCUUUAAUGGAUAAAACACCUAAAUCUUACUAAAAUUAGUUAAUUCAGUUUGUAUACCACUAUUAAAGUAAUAAUUUAUAACUAUUACUUUAAUUUUUACAUUUAAAAAAUAAAUUAAGUCAUGGUGCAGCUUAAGUUUUAGAAUGAAGUGAAUUACAUUUCUUUUAAGAAAAUUGAAGUUUAAAAUUAAUUUUUUGGAUUUGAAAGUAAAAAUGUAAUAUAAUGACAUUUUGAUUGAGUUCUAAAGUAUGUAC